CACCGCGGUUAUACGAGAGGCCCAAGUUGACAAAAAUCGGCGUAAAGAGUGGUUAAUAGAAUAUUAGACUAAAGCCGAACACCUUCUAAGCCGUUAUACGCACCCGAAGGCAGGAAGACCCCCAACGAAAGUGGCUUUAAUUAAAAUGACCCCACGAAAGCUAUGACA
Molecule: ribosomal RNA, 168 nt
Filed under: Cryptocentrus caeruleomaculatus
Lineage: Eukaryota; Metazoa; Chordata; Actinopteri; Gobiiformes; Gobiidae
Description: partial 12S rRNA
Source: RNAcentral